ACUUGAUGGGUGGGGAUGUCUGGACGAUUUCCCGCUUAAAACUCCGGUGCCUUAGGAUGAGUCUGCGGCUGAUUAGGUAGUUGGCGGUGUAACGGACCACCAAGCCCCAGAUCAGUACGGGCGUUGAGAGACGGAGCCCGGAGAUGGGGGCUGAGAUACGGCCCCAGACCCUACGGGGUGCAGCAGGCGCGAAAACUCCGCAAUACACGAAAGUGUGACGGGGGAACUCCAAGUGCUGCAGCAUUAGCUGUAGCUUUUGUUUAGCUUAAACAACUAUUCGAAUAAGGGCGGGGUAAGACCGGUGCCAGCCGCCGCGGUAACACCGGCCGCUCGAGUGGUGACCAUUUUUAUUGGGCCUAAAGCGUCCGUAGCCUGUCGAGUAAGUCCUUGGGUAAAUCCUGACGCUCAACGUUAGGAAUUCUAGGGAUACUGCUUGACUUGAGACCGAGAGAAGUCAGAGGUACUCUUGGGGUAGCGGUGAAAUGCUGUAAUCCUGAGGGGACCACCAGUGGCGAAGGCGUCUGACUAGAGCGGGUCUGACGGUGAGGGACGAAAGCCAGGGUCGCGAACGGGAUUAGAUACCCCGGUAGUCCUGGCUGUAAACGCUGUGCGCUAGGUGUUGCAUGCUCUACGGGGGCAUGCAGUGCCGA
This 650-nucleotide ribosomal RNA is filed under the name uncultured archaeon. RNAcentral describes it as "bacterial SSU rRNA". It matches the Rfam family "Archaeal small subunit ribosomal RNA", at positions 151 to 804 of the family's 1478-position model. The record is from RNAcentral.